RNAcentral lists this unclassified non-coding RNA (384 nucleotides) under soil metagenome. Its description in RNAcentral is "partial contains 5.8S ribosomal RNA, internal transcribed spacer 2, and large subunit ribosomal RNA". The stretch from base 1 to 120 matches the Rfam family "5.8S ribosomal RNA", at positions 35 to 154 of the family's 154-position model. The record is from RNAcentral.
GAUGAAGAACGUAGCGAAAUGCGAUAAGUAAUGUGAAUUGCAGAAUUCAGUGAAUCAUCGAAUCUUUGAACGCACCUUGCGCUCCUUGGUAUUCCGAGGAGCAUGCCUGUUUGAGUGUCAUUAAAUUCUCAACCUCACCAGUUUUCUGAACUGUUCUCCGAGGCUUGGAUGUGGGGGUUUGUGCAGGCUGCCUCAGCGCGGUCUGCUCCCCUGAAAUGCAUUAGCGAGUUCGAUACUGAGCUCCGUCUAUUGGUGUGAUAAUUAUCUACGCCGUGGAUCGGGGCUUAGACUCGCUUCUAACCGUCCGCAAGGACAAUACCUUGACAAUUUGACCUCAAAUCAGGUAGGACUACCCGCUGAACUUAAGCAUAUCAAUAAGCGGAG